RNAcentral lists this ribosomal RNA (118 nucleotides) under Procavia capensis (Cape rock hyrax). Lineage: Eukaryota; Metazoa; Chordata; Mammalia; Hyracoidea; Procaviidae. The record is from RNAcentral.
UCUGAAGGCCAUACCAUCCUGAAUGGGAGUAAUCUCAUCUGAUCUUGGAAGCUACGUAGGGUCACGCCUGGUUAGUACUUGAAUGGAGACUGCUAGGCAUUACCAGGAGUUGUAGGCU